GCCUGAAACCUUUGGGCAACACGCCAAUCCUCUUUUGACAGCAAUGGUGGGGGUAGUCUCGGAUUUAUGCUAUGAUGAGAAUAAUAAUAUGAAAGAUAUGCUGGAUGUGAGCGAAUUUCAUCAUCAGUAAGAACUAAAUUAUUGCCGCUAUUAUUAUUAUUACUGCUACUAUUGUCACUAAAAUUGGGGUUCCUAAAAAGACUACCCACAGCGCUUAAUGAUCCCUCAACAGUUGGUGGAGC
This 242-nucleotide unclassified non-coding RNA is filed under the name Hevea brasiliensis (rubber tree). Lineage: Eukaryota; Viridiplantae; Streptophyta; Magnoliopsida; Malpighiales; Euphorbiaceae. The record is from RNAcentral.